UCUUCGAUUGGAUGCUGUCCUAGUUGAAUGUCUUCAAAAACUGUGUGAAGUGGUAAAUAAUGUUCAGUUGACUGAUCAGAACCAUGCUAACAAUUGAAGUUUGUUUUAUUGGGUACUAAUAAGUAUAGAGCCAUUAUUUACAUAGCUCUCAGAGACAAUUAAUAAAAGCAUGAAGUUAUGGAGUACUAUUACUCUAAUAGCUUUUCAAAUUGUCAUUUGGUUCUUACCUAUUAUCUACUUAAUCCUCACCUUCCUUUUCUGUUUCCUUGCUGUCGGCAUAUUUCUUUUGGCUUUCUUCUUACCUUGGGACGAUUACUAGGCUUUCAUUUCCCUUUCUGUUUGCUUCUUUAUCUUCUCCAUUAGUUGCUUCAUUUUGUGCUGUCUUUACCCUUUUGAGGAACAAGUUUUCCAAGGGCACUGUCAGCUUCUUCACUUUUCAUGAGCUCUUCUGCAAUCGUUGUUGGGUCAACUGUCAAUAACAAAAAGAAACAGUUUAUGAAGGGGAAAAAACUGUCUUCUAAACUCUUGAGUUGCAACAGAGACUGCUGAGCUCUAAGUCACAGAUAUGAAAUUCCAAGUCAUAGUUAGCCAUGGCUGCAAUCAAGCUCGACUUUCCAGUGCCUGGAGAAGUUGAUGGAUAGUUGAGGUUGGUUGAUUCCCAUGACCCACAGUAUGAAUAGAGCUUCAGGACCUUGUUUUCUUCUAUGAAGGCUUCUGAUCUCUCUACCACAUAUGGCAACCUUUUCACCUUCACCAAUGGUGAUUGAAAGGUUCUUACCUUCUGGAGAUUUCGAUCUGCAGUUACUCAACUAUUGCUUCGACAACUUCGGUUCAU
Vitis vinifera (wine grape) is the source of this 835-nucleotide long non-coding RNA. RefSeq lists it as uncharacterized. The transcript has 4 exons. The record is from RefSeq and is a predicted model, not a curated record. Lineage: Eukaryota; Viridiplantae; Streptophyta; Magnoliopsida; Vitales; Vitaceae.